AAAAUUCACCCCAUGGAACAAAGAUUUGUCAUCCCAGAGGAUAUCAAUAGUUGAAGAAAAAUGAAAAAGUUCUAUGAAGCAUAAUGUGGAUCUCAACAGCAACUAGAGAGCUGCUUUAGAGUAGAUGAAUGCUAUUAUUUGGGGAUAGGACUAAGGUUAAGUAACAGAUUCGCAGACCCACAAAUAUCUAAAUAGUCCAAAGAAUGUGUCAUAAGCCCUGAAGGCAAUUCUGAAAAACAGAAUUCCAAUCAUAGAACAAAGGAAAAGUCUCUAGUGAGAAGAACUCAUUUCCAGAAGAUGCUACUGUGAUAGAGGAAUAAUCCAGAGACUUUUGAAUGACAGAGCCUGGGAGAAAUUGCAAGGAUUUCCAUCCACAGGGGGGAUGGUUGAGGAGGCUUGGAAUGUUGAGGGAAGAGAGAUUCCAGGUGGGAGGCAGUUGAUCUCUCUCUCUCUAUCUUGAGAUGGCAAAGAUACCAAGAAGUGUGGCAGAAACCUGAGAAGAGUAAGAACAGCAUAACAAGAUCUCACACAGCUCCUGUGACACCCUGGGUCUGGACAUUGGCUCUGCUGUGACAAAGACCAGGAGUCACAAACCCUGAAUCUCUCAGAGCCAAGGCUGUUGCCUUCUUAUUGGAAGUGAUCAUAAACUCACCGUUAAGUGACCUUCAUGAUGAUCAGGAAAAUGAAUGAAUAAAUAUUCUGUAGCUACCAGUUGCAUUAUGGAGUCACCCAGAAAUUCCAUUCUCUGAUUAUGGCCUCUGAAAAAUGAAACAUCAAAUAAAGAAGAUCAAUAAGCACUCGGUAUGAAAAGAAAGGAUGAAAGAACAUUUAAGAGUAUAAAUAUACUUGGUUUAUUUUGAAACAUAAAUGAAUAACUAUUAAUCAAAAGAAAAUAA
Monodelphis domestica (gray short-tailed opossum) is the source of this 896-nucleotide long non-coding RNA. RefSeq lists it as uncharacterized. Lineage: Eukaryota; Metazoa; Chordata; Mammalia; Didelphimorphia; Didelphidae. The record is from RefSeq and is a predicted model, not a curated record.